Molecule: long non-coding RNA, 286 nt
Filed under: Sorghum bicolor (sorghum)
Lineage: Eukaryota; Viridiplantae; Streptophyta; Magnoliopsida; Poales; Poaceae
Description: long non-coding RNA (SBIC_LNC015097)
Source: RNAcentral
CGCAGAAGUUUAAACCUUGAGAUUGAGAAGGCUGGACUGGUAAGUUUUUUUUAGGGUACAAUAGUAGGCACAUUAUUCAUACGCUGCAACGCUCACACCACAUGCACAUACACUUGUGCGUGUCCGCAAGUCGAAGGUCAAAAACUAAAUGGUUCUCGUUUGCUGAAUGUGAAGAAAAAAAGAGAGAAAAAAUAGAUUUGAAGAUGCUGUUCUAUUACGGAGGUACUCCAAUUUCAAGCCAGUCGUCCCGUCGUUCUCGAAGGUACAUACUGCUAGUACAAUGGCC